This 411-nucleotide long non-coding RNA is filed under the name Pan troglodytes (chimpanzee). RNAcentral's name for it is "lncRNA (ENSPTRG00000053399.1)". The record is from RNAcentral. Lineage: Eukaryota; Metazoa; Chordata; Mammalia; Primates; Hominidae.
GAAGAUCUCAGUUUGAAGCACUGGAGCAGGUUGUUCUGAAAGGUCACCAGGAAGCUGAAGAAAUUCUCAGUUAUAGUAAAUGCCUUGAGUAGACAAAUGUAUGCAUACUUUAUUUGUCCACCAAAUUUUUGAAGGAGAGACAAGACCAAAGAUGUGAAAACAAUUAUGUAACCUAUGAAAGACAGAAAAAGUUUGUUUCUGUUGACUGGACAAGAAGCAAUGAAGCCUGUGCAAUAGAGAAAAAAAUGGAGAUUGGCAUAUAAACACAUAUCAGCAUUUAUCAAGGCCGGUGGAGAAGAGAUAUCUUCUGAUCUAUGAAGCCUAGCCCUGUAUUUGUGAACGUAAAGAUUCCUGUCUUAUCUAAGAGCAAUAUUACCAAAAUGCACAGAUGACAGAAAAAUCAUUUGAAAU